ACUGUUACUCAUUUCAAAAAGUAAAAGUUGUUCUGGUACCUGGGGCUCCUAUACCUGCAUGGGGGGCAGAAGUGGAAAGAGAGGCACUGCUGUCUGGUCUGGUAAUGCUACCAAGUUUGCCUGAAGAAGUUUCAAUUUUGGGCGUUAUGAGAACGUUUUUGUAUCAGCCAUGUCGAUAACGAGGACAAGGCUUUGCGGUUUUGUGCUUUUUAAAGCUUUUGGCCAUGGUUAAGUCAGUUUUAGGUUUGACGAUGAAUAUUCGUGCUGUGUGGAUUCAGCAGGGACUUCCUCCUGUUUGACCCGAUGCAGGUAGUCUGAUUACGGACAGCUGCUCUCUGCAUGCUCCUGCAGUCGCUGAUUCGCUUAAGGACUGUCAGUAAAUUUCUGAACUAAACUCACUGUUUCAUGGUGAUAUUGUUUUGUGUCUUUCAGGGAAAUGUAUGUGCGUCUGACCAGCUGAUUUUAUUUGUGAUCCGCUGAUUGCGUGUAAUUCACGAAGCUGACUCUUUUUCUUUUCUUUCAGCCUUCAGACAAAUUUAUGAUUUGUAAAUAGUAAAAUUAUGUUUCAGUUUGACCCAUUCUGGCCAUUGUGAUAUUUAAUAUUAUUGUAGUCACUCUUGAGUUUUAUAAACUUUUUCCAGCACUAUCACUUCAAAAUCCUAAUUUCACCUGGUCUCAUAGCCAAUCAGUGAACAGCAGUCUCUUCAAGUCACAUGUAGUCCCUACUCAGCCCGUACCUUCUCAGCAGUUUAUCCCAGUCCACUUAUUAAAAGCGACUUUGGGAUUGUUUUUCACUAAAGUUGCUUGCAAGUCUUAUGAGUCACUGGUUGCAGUUUUUUGGGCUUGCUUUUGAACCUGAAGUUGCUUAUUUGGGCUUGGCUUUCUUUCCGAGUGAAUUAUCUUCCUGCUUCCUUACAAUAAAGCAAACCCCCCACCGUUUCCUGGUUAUCGCGCCUGCCCGAGAUGACUUGGCCUACCCCAAACAAACUCAUGCCAGAGCCCAGAGUGACAGGAAAUUGAGGGACAUGACAGCGUAAGAAUGAGUUGCAGUAUUUGUAUGCGGGUAAAAUAUGGGGAAAAUAUAAAACAUGUGUCUUUUCUCCUGAACAGCGUUUAAAGAAAGUUUUUUGUUGACCGUCUUUAUUGUCAUUUUGCUGCUGUAUUCAAAAUUUGUAUGGUGAGAGGAAUAAGUAUAAUUUUGCUGUUGCUUAUGUAUAUUGCCAUAAUAAAUGUAUACAUUUAUACAAGUGGCCUCUGCAUUACACAGUGUGGCAGGUUACCCAUUGAGCUUUUUUUGAACUUGUUCUCAUAGAGCUGGUUGCUUGUUUCUCUUGUGAAAUCUAACGAAAUCUACGAAAUCUUAACUGUAAACAUUAACCCUGGAGCAACAAGCAAGAAGCAACCAAGGAGCACAGCGUGAACAUCCUCCUCCUCUCUGCCGCUCCUGGCAGUCUGUCAGUGUUGCAGCCUGGUGUCUGCUACCAUGACACGUGACAAAAACAGUGAGCCAUCAUAUCAACCCAUCCUUUGUGUUUCUGUAUUUAAUUGCCCAAGUAAUAAAUAUAAUUAAAAGUGACAUGAAAUUGAAAAAGUAGAAAAUGCAGUGCCUGCAGAGAAUUACAAGGAAACAAAGUAGCAAAAAACAAAGAACAGCUUCAAUAUAUAGAGCCAUUCAAAUGAACGUUCAUGAUGUUCACAUUACUACACUGGACGGGGAGAAAAGGAAUGGAAAUGCGGGCAGAGGGGAGUGGAGGCGGUGGAAAAGGGGCAAUUUUUCUACAAAACUGCACUGUAAUCUUUCUGUUAUAAUGUAGAUAUUCCUUUACUAACAACUAGUGGAUUUCUUGUAAACCAUGGGGCUUCUCUGAAACUGAAAGCGAAAGUUAGAAAUCUUUCUGACGUGCUUGUUCAUUCAGCUGCCUUAUUUAGUGUUUAACCCGACAGCAGAUGAAACACAGCAAAGGUAGGAUUUUAAAAAGUUAUAUUUAUUUCCUGGUUGGAAUGCAACUUAGCCUUUUCAUAAUAUAACAUUUAUAAGGGAACCAGAUCAAUGUUAUAGUAUUUAUGACAACGUUCCGCAUUUAUUAAAGUUUAACUGUCCUAAAGUGGAAAGAGUGAGUUUUGCAACAAGAGAAAACGUAGUGGUAACGCUGCUUAAUCACAAUAAAUAUAGUUUUCCAUUCUUUAAAACGUGUACAGAAAAGUAAUUUGUAAAACGCUGAAACAAACUAAUGGAAUAUUAUGACUUGAUCUAGCUUUCUCUUUUGUAGUGAAUAAAAAGUGUGAGUCAUACACACUCUUAUCUAAAGUAUUUCCAAGUGACAAAGAACAUAAGGUUUUACUGGGAGGAGUAUUUCAAAGCAUAUGGUGCAUUAUAAUUGUAUAAUGGCUCUGUGAUAUCAAACUAAUAUACUGAAAAUAUAUUAGAUUAGAAAAUAUAAAUAUAUUAGAUUAGAAAAAAUAAAUAUAUUAGAUGAAAAUACAGUUAAGCCCAACAGUAUUCAUCCCCUGGUAGAUUUAGGUAUACAGGUACAUGUAAAAAAAUAGAACAAUUAGAAUAUUGCGAUAAAGUUCAAUACUUUUUGUCACUGAUUUCAGAAAGUGAUACUUAUGUUACAUAGAUUCAUUACACACAGAGUGAAAUAUUUCACGUUUUUGAUGGUUAUGGCUUACAGAAAAUAGAUGGGUGGAUGGACCUUGUAUGUGUCUUACUUUGUGUUUUUUUGUGUUAGGCAACCAAAACAUGUGGAAUCCUGUGGUUAAAGUGCAGAGAAUCACUACAGGGGAAACCUUUGGUGCAGAUGAGGUUCUGAUGAACCAAGUCAGGAGAAGGGUGAGGCUGGAGGAUACAAGGUGGAAUGCACAACACGUCAUCCUUUUCUGUCCAAUCACCUCUCGUGUUGGCUCAGAUGUGGAGGCAGCUUUGGGAAAAGUGCCAUAUGGUCAAAGGGUCAUCCUGGUUCUGAUGCACCACACCCGAGAUGCUUACUACUCAACUGCUGGAAAAAAGUGGUCUGAAACCACUGAAAACGUUGACUUGGAUGUUCACAUUCUCUUCCACGAAAGUGUCCAAGGAUUAAUCACAUGUGCUCAAAACAAUGAGGCAGUGUUGCAAAUACAAAAUUUUUUAGCACAAAACAAAAAUAAUUCAGUUUUGCAUUUGACUUGGGAUUUGCUUAGGUAUUGCUAUUGGACGUUGCUUUGCAUUUUUUCUUGGGUCUGGAAUUCAGGUUGGCCUUGGAUGAGACUUUGGAAUUGGUUUUCACAUUCAGGUUGGCCUUGGAUGAGACUUUGGAAUUGGUUAGGCAAAUUAAUUUCCCCUUUGGUUCCAGAUUUGGUGCUUUACAUCAGAAAACCAAAAGUUACGAAAGACAGUUUUGCCUAAUACAAACAUUUUUAUGUGCAUAUACAGUUUGUUGCUUUAUGGGUCUUACGCACUCUCACACAAAGAUAGCUGUUGGAAUUGUGUUUAUAUUUACUCAGGCACAAACUCGAUUACAUCCACAGACAAGAAAACAUGCUGCAGCUAAGUCAGAGUAACUAUAUGUAUAAUUACAGAAACUUAAGACAUUUGACUUGUUUCAUACAUAGGCAUACUCACAUGCACACAAAUCACAGCCUCACCAAGGCUUGUGCCAAAGGCUUCACUGUUAUAUUAGAUUGAUCUAAUUUACUUUUUAUUCCGCAAAUAAUGUUGUUGCAAUUGUUAAAUCAUAUUCAGUUGUAGUGUUUAUGAUUGGGAAGCUGGUAUAAAAAAAUGUUUAUUUGGUUGCGUUUUAAUGCAGGUCAAAUAAGGCUCUUUAUUUGAAUUAUUUUCUCUCUUCUUAUUGCAUAUUGUUAAACCUGAGUUAGACUUCUGCCUAUAGCCAGUUUAACCAGAUUUGUGGGAACUGCCUCCUUUGAAAAAUGAUCAAUAAAGUUUGAAGGAAUGAUAUAGUUACAA
Molecule: long non-coding RNA, 3943 nt
Organism: Girardinichthys multiradiatus
Lineage: Eukaryota; Metazoa; Chordata; Actinopteri; Cyprinodontiformes; Goodeidae
Exons: 3
Source: RefSeq, a predicted model, not a curated record